Long non-coding RNA from Canis lupus familiaris (dog), 2158 nucleotides. RefSeq lists it as uncharacterized. The record is from RefSeq and is a predicted model, not a curated record. NCBI's taxonomy places the organism in Eukaryota, Metazoa, Chordata, Mammalia, Carnivora, Canidae. The transcript has 5 exons.
CCGCACCACGAGGAACACUCCGCGGUCCUUAACCUCCCCGCCUGCCGCGGGCCCUCACUCGGGGAGCGUGGCCACCUCGGCGCGCAGCGAGCCUCCUCCGGUUGGAAAACUCAGCAGCUGUUUUAACAAUUGAAAAGCGGCCCUACAGGACCAGUGAGAGACGGAGCAGAGUGUGUGAAGCCAUUAAGGCUGACUAGAUGAAAUGAGCUGGUCCUACACUGAGAAGACAGGAGGGAUCUUGUCUAAUCCACUGUGUUGGAAAGCUCCUGAAAGAUCCUAAAGAGACAGGAAAUACAGGAGAGCAAUGCGUGGUGAACCCCACAGCCUGGAAGAAAGGAGGCUGAGAUGAGGAAGUGGCCCCUUGACAUCUGAUGAAAUGCUGAUAAAUAAAACUAACGGAACUUCAUGGAAAGAGGUCGAAACCACUGUCGUACUGUCUUCAGAAAAAGCUUUACUAUCCACAGCAGCAUUAUUCCCAAUUGCCAAAAGGUGGAAACAACCUAAGUGUCCAUCAACAGUCAGGUUCACCUUGAACACCAUUGUUACUCCACGUUGGAUUUUCCCGGGACUUACAUCUAAAUUGAUCUUCCCUUGUCACCUUCUAUUUGGCAUAUCACACCCAUUCACUGGGCUGGCUUCCUCCCAUCAUCUGCACCUGUGUCCACCCCGUCAGGGUAUGUACCUCUUUUUUUUGUGUACCUCCUUUUUGUUCUUCUACCCUGUCCCAUCCUACUGAAGCUAAUUUUAAUGAUAUGUGAUGUGUGAUAUCAAUGUUACCUGAGAGAAAUCUCUUUAACCAUCAUAAUAAGCAGGACACUGAUACAUAUUAACACAAAAGUCCAAUAUUAUUCUGUUUUUGGUCUAACCUCUUAAUAAGCAUAAUAUGUCUAAAUUCCGUCAAGAUUGGGAAUUUAUGUCUCUGUCUUGCAGAAGUUAAUCUUGAAUGCAAUAUGAUUUUUGUAUUAAUUCUAUUUAUGUUCUCCUUAUCAACAUAACAUCUGAACGUGUUGGGAACUAUUCACAAUGUAAGUUUUACAAUUUGCAAUUUCACAUGAAGAGAUAUGAGAAGUGUCCUACAGCAAAAGCUGAGUUGAACAGAACACAUCUUACACUCAUGGGGACAGGGAAUGCUUUGCUAUACAAUCCUUAUUUCCCACCUACCAAGCACACUUUGGGAAAUGUUACCCUAGAGAAAGCUCUUUAACCAUUACGAUAAGCAGAAAGAAGCUAACAUAUACUGACCACCACCUGGUGCCAAACACUACAUAUUUGAUAUAGUUGGUUUUUACAAAAAUCUUCUGAUAGUGUUUUCUUAUUAUCCUUUUUCAGUUAUGGAAGUUGAGAUUCACUAAUUUAGGCACACUUGUUCACGUUCACAGCUGGUACAACUAGGAGCAGAAUUUGUAUCUGACUCCAAAUCCCAUGCUCUUUCUACAAAAUUUUGCUAUACCCAUUCAUUACAUUCUUUUUUAUUAAAGUGGAUUUCUUGAAGGAUUUGGGAUAAAAGCUCUUAAACUAUCUUGACUACUUCUAUUGGAAAAAACCAACAACAAUAAACCAAAAAACCACAAAAACCCAUUUUUACCUGAUUAUCUUUUCAUUUUACUGGGAAGCAACUUAGCACAUGCUGUCUCCUCAGUUCACAGAGGAGGUGAAGGAGAUAGAUGUUAAAUUAUUUGGUGAUGAAGCAAGAAAGUCCAAAGGAAAGUUAAAGAUUUGCAAAAUAGUGUUAAUGAUAAUUUUCUUUAGGAAAACAUUAAUUUAUGUCAGAACAUUGGCUCUCCACCUAUAUUUUUAUUUAUUUUUAUUUUUUUAAUCCACCUGUAUUUUUAAAAAUCCAUUUUAACUUUGAAAAUUUUCUUAAUAAUUAAUCUAUAUUCUGGGAUUAGCCUUUAAUGUUUUAUGGGGAAAAUGGAUUUUUGUCAUAUUGCUAGAACCUUAUUGAACUAAGAAUAAUAUAAAAAGAAAGGCUAGUUUUCCUUUUGGAGAAAAUGAUUCUAGAUUUUGCUAAUUAUUGAAAUAAUACAUUUUCAUAAAAAAACUUACAAACUUUUGCUAGAGUACUUGACUAUUGUAAUAUUUUGUUCAUUACAAAUUGCCAAAUUCUGACUGUCUUCUGUGUUUUACAUAAAAAUAUGAUACUUCUAAAGACAUAGAA